Octodon degus (degu) is the source of this 73-nucleotide small nucleolar RNA. RefSeq annotates it as Z6 small nucleolar RNA. The transcript has a single exon. NCBI's taxonomy places the organism in Eukaryota, Metazoa, Chordata, Mammalia, Rodentia, Octodontidae. The record is from RefSeq and is a predicted model, not a curated record.
UGCUGACCAACCUUUGCCCCUUUGUGCAGGGCUCCCAGGAGCCAGGGGAGAUGCUGCCAAGGAAGCUGAAGCA